GGGGCUGUAGCUCAGUGGUAGAGCACUUUCCUUGCAUGAGUGUGGCCCUGGGUUCAAUCCUCAGCACCACA
Molecule: transfer RNA, 71 nt
Filed under: Marmota monax (woodchuck)
Lineage: Eukaryota; Metazoa; Chordata; Mammalia; Rodentia; Sciuridae
Description: tRNA.Ala
Rfam family: tRNA
About the family: Transfer RNA (tRNA) molecules are approximately 80 nucleotides in length. Their secondary structure includes four short double-helical elements and three loops (D, anti-codon, and T loops).
Source: RNAcentral